CCGGAUACGUAUCAGACUGUUGACUUGAGUUACCUUGGCAGGGAGAUGCUGUGCAGGAAUGUGGAAAGGGGGAGGGGGAGUGAUCUGGAGAAAAAAAAGAAAAAAGACUGCAACAUCGGAAAGUCUGACUGCAUAAUGGCAGUUGUGAGAAGAGAAGAAAAAAUAAUGCAAUUUCGAGAAAGUCCUACAACUUUGAGUUAAUGCUGACAGUUUUGAUGUGAGGAGAUCUGCUUGGAUUUUUGGUCAGGGUAAGACUGCAAAUGGCCAUUUGCUGGUCCGCUGUCCUGGACACUGAGAAGAAGAGUUUCCCAUGCUUACAGAAACAGUGGGUAUCACCACCACGGGGAUAAGUGUGCAUUGCUCAAGUGUACCAUUGGAAGACAUGACUUCAGUGUACCCUUCUUCACAACUGCAUAUCCUUGUCUGCAGGAGAACAAGACUUAUACUGUACAUGCAAGGUGAUCUUUGUAAGCAUAACAGACCUGACUUGAAGAGCAGGCUUUAAAGGAAUAUUGUUCUGGGAAUUUACUUUAUGUAAUUUCUGUCAUAACUAUGUAAAAAAGAACACACUUUUUGUCCCUUUACAAACUUAUUCUAACAGUAGAAGCAAGUGCAUUCAGAAUUGUUUAUAGUGAUAAAAGGAGAGGUCCCCAAAUAGAAUUUUUAUGCCUCAAGACAUGCUUUUUUGGGGUGGGGGAAUGGAUUGUACCAGAGGCAGUGGGGUGACAAAUGA
Balaenoptera musculus (blue whale) is the source of this 733-nucleotide long non-coding RNA. RefSeq lists it as uncharacterized. The record is from RefSeq and is a predicted model, not a curated record. NCBI's taxonomy places the organism in Eukaryota, Metazoa, Chordata, Mammalia, Artiodactyla, Balaenopteridae. The transcript has 4 exons.